ACUGGCAUAAGGCUGCACACUUGCCCUACUCAAAACAACUUGAUAUGGAGGACAGUGGAACAAGUGGCUCUCUUUCAUUCUCUGGCACCACAAGAAGGAAACUCCAACUUUUGUUGCAUCUUUGUGAGUUGAAUGACCUCCAUGCUCGAAACAAAGAAGUGCUUCUUUACUUCUGCCUCAUAACAUUCGUCUCUUCAUUUAAGAAAAAUGGAACCUCACAAUAAUCCUGUGAGGAAGUUACUAUAGGUAUUAUCAUUCAUAUUUGAUAAAUAAGGAAAUUGAGACUCAAAGAGAUUAUGUGACCUGACCAUUGUCAUACAACUAGUAAAGUAAAUCUAUUUCUA
Monodelphis domestica (gray short-tailed opossum) is the source of this 344-nucleotide long non-coding RNA. RefSeq lists it as uncharacterized. Lineage: Eukaryota; Metazoa; Chordata; Mammalia; Didelphimorphia; Didelphidae. The record is from RefSeq and is a predicted model, not a curated record.